Long non-coding RNA from Dromaius novaehollandiae (emu), 9372 nucleotides. RefSeq lists it as uncharacterized. Lineage: Eukaryota; Metazoa; Chordata; Aves; Casuariiformes; Dromaiidae. The record is from RefSeq and is a predicted model, not a curated record. The transcript has 4 exons.
CUGCUUUUUAAAAGUAGUGCAUAAAUUCAAAAAAGCUAUAGUCUGAUGUAAAGUCGAGCAUUAAGUUUCUCUAGUAACAUUAGCUUGCCUUUUUUAAAGCUAUGUUAAUUGAAUCCAUAGUGUGUGCAGAUGGAUACAGCUCUAUGGAGGCCAUUAUAGCUGUGCCAGUUUAUAUUAGCUGAGGAUGAGCAUUUAAAGAGUUUAAAGUGCUGUAGGGAGUUGGAUUCAAUAGUCAAAUGAACAAAAUGGUGACUGUCAAGGUUACAGAGUGAUUGAUGGUUUAAAUAUUCUUUGGUUUCACUUGAGCAUGCUUCUUAGAUGACUUUCAUUCCUCUGAGUGGAAUGAUGUGGUCUUAUAUUGCUGCCUGUUAUUACAGUUCUCCCUUUUGGACCCAUUUGCUUUUGGUACUAGCAGAAAUUUUCUUCUGACGUUGCAGCCAGUACAGAUUAAAUUUACUUGAAACUACUUUAAAUAAAGUUUCUUCAGUUAGAGGUAUUUAAUAGAAAAGUUAUUUAAAAUGAUAAAAUUCUCUGUAAAGCUAGUCUGACGCAAAUAUUACCCAUGCUUUGCAAAUGUUGGAUAACUCCAGUUAAAUCUUGUUACCUCUGUGUUUGUUUGGAAGAGGCUCCCACCUGCACCAUUAUCUGCCCUCUCUUUUAGUAACCUACCUGAACAGCUAUUGUCCAUUCACUAUACCUCCUUUCCUCUUUAGGUAUGGCAGCUUGACUGCUUGUCCCUUUUUAUGCAAGCUCUGCCCUUUGCAGAAUACACUACAGAAAGUAGUGUUUCCAGUUAAUAGCCUAGUGUCAUUAACACCAUUGAAAUUUUUAAUCAUAACUAUCUUGCCUUUGUGUUUUGGUUUAUUUCUUGUUUUGCUAUUUCUAUCAACCACUUUCUUCUUGAUAGUAUUCUAAAUGUGGAACAUUAAAUCUUGGAAAGGGACUUAAUCACAGGAAUCAAUACACAUACAUUUCUCAUUUUUUCAUGUUGGCCAUAGUUCAGGGAUAAUGGAAUUGUGUAGCACUUAUGGUUGAGACUUAGGAAUAAGAUCUGCUGUGUUUUCAAGUGUGUGCUUUGCUGAUACAUGUAAAGGAGAAGAUUAGAUUCACUAGGAGGAAACAUUUUACCAUAUGAGAAUAAAAUAAUUAUCUGCUUGAUCAGUUUUCUGUUCAAAAGUAGUCAGUGCCUACAAGGAGGAGGUGGGAUUCUGGUACAUAGUCUAUAAUUACGAGGCAAGCUGGAUUUUUCAUGUAAUAAUUUACUGAAAAAAAAAUGCUUCUUUCCAAUUAAAUGAGGCAGAAUAUGGCUUGAAACCAAGGCAGUAGAGAUUUUGAACGCGAAUGUGUUUAAUCGGGAAAGUUCUAGGUAAGUCUGGUGUGAAACUUUAUUUCCUUUGAAUAUUGCAAGCUGAAGCUAAAAAUAGGAAAGCCUUAGUGCAGGUUGCACAAGAGUAACUGAUAGACUUGUUUUUCCCUGUCUUUCCAAGUUUAAGGUUGUCCUAACUUUGGCCUGAAAUACUGGUGAUGUGAUGUCGUCUUUAUUAAGAUAUGCAGUAUUUUUUUAUGAAUAGACACUGAUGAUAUGACUUUGCUUUUGUAUAUAGCAGAUGUGACAUAUUUAGUGGAAAAGACUAGUAAUGUUCCUCAAGCAUGAAAUUUGAAUGAAAUCUGAAAAACUAAUUUAUUUCUGCAGAAGAGACAAGUGAUACUCUUCAAAAUGAAGAAAUCUGUCACAAAGAAGAUGACCAGAAUCCAGUAUCUACUGAUAAUGUGAAAAUAGAAAUUAUAGAUGAUGAAGAAAGUGAUAUGAUAAGCAAUUCUGAAGUGGAUCAAAUGAGUUCUCUCUUGGAUUAUAAGAAUGAAGAAGUCAGAUUCAUUGAAAAUGAGUUGGAAAAUCACAAACAGAAGUAUUUUGAACUACAAACAUUUACUCGCAGUUUGAUACUUGCUAUUAAAUCAGAUGAUAAAGAACAGCAGCAGGCACUGCUGUCAGACUUACCUCCUGAAUUAGAAGAAAUGGAUUUCAAUCAUGCAUCCCCAGAGCCUGAUGAUACCUCAUUCAGUCUGUCGUCUUUAUCUGAGAAAAAUGCCUCAGACAGUUUGUGAUUGUUUUUUUUUUUUUUUAUUGACAAGAAAAAAAAGACUGCCUAACAUGUAGGUUUGAGAACAGCUUUUUGUUAUCUAAUGUUCUUCAAUCAAAAAAAAAAAAAAAAAAGGCCUAAGGUGAGGUAGACCUUGCUGAAGGAUGACCAUAGUAUGUAAUAGCUGCAGUUUGCAAUGACAAAAAUUUGAAAUGUUGUUUUUGGUAAAUGAAAGAACUGUGUGAGGCAAGGUUUCAUUUUUUUUGUAGAAUAACUUCUGACUUUCCAGAAUAACUCUUGCUCUGUAGCAAAGUCUCUUUGAGCAGGGGUCCAAGAGUGGAAAACACAUGUCCUGUUACACACCCAAAUAAUUUUUUCUGAGUUGCUUGCUAUAUGAAACUCACUAGUCCUGUUUAUUGUAGAUUCCCCAUCCCCAAUUCUUACUCAGGUAGGUGGACUAAAAAUUGGGAAUCCAUAUACAAGAAUGGGCUUUUUAUGAAUUGUCCUUGAACCUCUUUGGAAAUCUGAAAUUAAACUAAAGUGCUUUUCAUUAUGUGAUUGCAAAUUGUUGAAUCUUCUGUUUUCUGACCAAAAUAACUGACAAAAACUUUGAAAGGCUAACCAAAUAAUUUGAAUUAUCAUCAAUAAAUUAUUAAUAUACAGAGGCAGUCAUUAAAUUUUGUAACAAAUUAGAUUCAUACUGUAAACUCGAUAGCUACAGAAUGUGACUUUCUGAUAUUCUCACCAUAGCAAUGGGAUUACAUAUGUUUACACUACUAUUUAAAGUUUUAUGAAUGUAGUUACAGGUUUUAUUUGUCAAAGUCUGGAUACUAAAGUUCUGUUCACUAAGUUUUAAGUAUGAGUUACAUAUUUUUCCAUAAAAUUCUCUCCAGUUUUAUCAAGACAGUGUCAUAAAGCCACAGCUGUCAUCGUGUCCCAAAAGGUUUUUGAGUGUUUCAGAUUGAGCUUUGCAAAAUCUUCUAAAAGUGACCUAUUUUAGAAGUAGCCCAUCUGACAAAUUUUUUUUGGCCAAAACCAUAAUACACUUGUCAUUUCUGAACUGUGAGCUUAAUUGCAGGCAGUGGCUGAAAUGAAUUUACUUUUUCCCAGCAGUUGUUCACAUUGAAUCCCCUUACUCAUCCGAAUAAACAGAUGUGCAGACACAUUCACAUAAACUUAGUAGGGCAUGUAGGUGCAUGCCUGUAUUAUUAAUGCUUUAUAACUUCUAAUCUGAAUAUUCCUGCACAAGCAUUUUUGAAACAGAUACUCUUGGAAUCUUGUAUUAAGCCUGAUCUUUCGGUUUUACACCAAGUAGUAAUUUAUUCUGAAUCUUUAUUCAUGUAGUACAGUAAGUAAUCCCAUUAAUUUCAGUGGGACUGUUCCGACUCUGGUUCUAUCUGAACAAAAAAGCAUCCUAAUUAAAAAAGAAAAAAUAGUGGAAGUCCAAGGCGUAGCUGAGAAAAUUGAGUCUGUUGAAGGCAGGGGCAGGGGCGACAAAAAAAAAAAAGUUUAAUAGUGGUCUAGUGAUCACAGAUGAUUUUAUUUCACUCAUUCUGUUCUGUUCCUCCCUAAUCGCUUAUGCAGGUUUUUUCUUUUUAUUAUUUACAGUGAGCUUUGUUCUUUUAAGCUUUUUUUUAGCUGUUUCUGUGUUGUCAUUGGGCAUAGGGAGCUUUUAACAAUAUUGUUAAAUGCCAGCUGCACAAAGGAUAGUAAUUUUGAAAGCUGUAUAAAAAAUUUUUUUCACAGUUCUGAUUACUGCGCAAUUCAGUUAAUUCAUAGUCCACAAAAAGUCUUCCCAUGUAUUCUACAGAAUAACCCUACAGAAAGCAAGCUGUUGGGGCUGUGUUACAAGGCUAGGCAUUAAAAUGCAAAAUAGAAUCUGAAGAGAUAGUAAAGGCACUCAGUGGUUACACAGCGUAAGCGGUAGGUUCCUCAUCCCUCAGUACCUUAAUUGAAAUGUCACAUUCUGACUGGCAGACACAUCCUUAUAUCCUUGUUCAGAGGGGGAGCAGUAUUUUACUUCUGCUGAAAUGACCACCUAUCUAAAAUUACUUAAGGUUUGUGAGCAAAGAUCACAGUACUAUCCCUCAAAUGUAAACUAGAGCUCAACUGCAGUUCUGUACCAUCUCUGAAAAAAUAAUUUAUAAAGGGUUUUCUAUACUGGGUUAACAAGGCUUUCUAUUACUGUUCUCUCAAGAUAGGAAAUCUGUGCCACUGACAAUGAAGUCUCUUGUUUUCUGUGAGCUUUGCUGAAAUUAAAAAAAAAAAAAAAACAAAAAAACAAAAACAAAAAACUGUGAUUUGCCGCUAUUUGGAUCCUAUUUUCCUGCUGCUUCCACUUAAAUUUCUGUGACAAAAGGCAGGAUACUCUUAAUGAGAGUUCUUGAUUUCAUGGUCAAGUUAGGUUACUGCAGUUCUUACCUUUUUACAAGACAAUUGUCAUUGUUGAUAAUAAUCUGGUUUUUGUUCUGUCUUGCUUUUAUUUCAUAUACCAAACAAAUUGAGUGGAUUCAUUUUGAAUGAACUGUCAUGAGAUUUAAACAAUUAUAUAGGAGUCUCUUUGCUCAAGGAAGCUGGAAUCCUCUAUGAAUUGCAGCUUGAGCGUGUUGUUCUUUGGUCCUUUUCUCAUAGCAGGAUUACAAGACAAAACAGAGUAAAGUAGUCAUGUUGGCAUACCCUGAAACAUUUGGCAAUAUUACAGAAUAUUCAGGAAGAAAGAGUAUAAAUUAUACUCCUGUAUAACAGAAUGCUAUAUUGGAUACUAAUAUAUGGUUGUUGUGUGGGGUUUUUUUCUUAAUUUUAGAAUAUACUUCCUGUCAUGGGUAAAACAAAAAAACUUGAUGAUUCAUUACCAUUGCUGGCUAUUUAAAAUGUUGCAGCAACAAUAGUUUUGCAGUUCAGUGGCUGAAAAGCAGCACACUUGCUUAUAGAUUCUUUAUCAUAACAGCAGUUAACCAUCCCAAAGUUGUGAAAAUACAUAUCUAAAUGUUGCACUUCAGACUAGCACCACACACAUAGCUCAUGGCUUUGUAAUUUAAGGCUUUUUUGGUUUGUUUGUUUCCCUUACAGAUAACUAAAUGUGCUAGUCAGGUUUGCAGGUUACAUCCAAAUCCAUGUAACUUGCAUCGGUUCAAACUGGACCUUAGGACUAUAUGAGAGCACUUGGUCUUGUUGCCGUCCGUAUUUCUUUAAAGCUUUGUCACAGUAACUGUACUGACACCCACCAAAUUCUAAGAAGGGAUACUAAUUUCCAGAUGAAAUUCUGAAAGUUCUCUAGAUGAUGGAAGGUGAUAGUCAUGGUUGUCUUGGUAUUUGACAUAUUUAGGGUUUUGGUCUGUGGUUAUUUCAUCUGUUCAUAGGAGGAUUAAAAAAAAAAAGCACACAUCAAAUGCUAAUUCAUCAUUUGCAUAGACUUCCCAUGACAGACAAGGUUAAUACUGUACUGUGUUACCAUGAAAGAAAUAAGGCCCCCUGAUAUUUCACUGUUUUGGAUUAGUAAUUUGAAUAACUGCUACAGCAAAAGUGGCGUGUAUUGACAUUUUUAUCAUCUUUCUGCUAAGACUCUUGAUUUGCUUUGUCCAUGAAAGAUGACUUCCCAGGCCCUGUUUAUUCCUAAUUCAUGUUCCAACAGAUGCAUGAUAAAGUGUGUCUUUCUGAAGAAACCAAAGCGGAAAAAGGUAGUUCAGAACAGACACUUUAAAACAGAAACAGGAUGCGCUCUCUCCUGUAGGAGCAGUGAAGCUCUUUGAUGCUAGCAAGCUUGCUGAUACUUAAGAAAGCAGUUUCCUGAAGCUAUGCCUCUUUUCAUUUCCCUGCAGAUGAUACUUCUGUCAAGCCUGUAGGUCUAACAGAAGUGAGUAAUAGUAAAUAUUCUAAUAGGCAAAUUUUUGGAAGAUUUGAUUUUUAGAAGUAUGUGAAGAACAGAUGUGCUAUACAAGUGUCAGUUUUCUUGAGUACUUGGUUCUCAGAGCAGCACUGCACUUUAAUCUUUCCAAGCAUACAUUUUUCACAAGCAGAUUAUGGGCUUUGCAAUCCUCUGAGUUAAAAAAAAAAAAAAAAAAAAAAUUGGCUUAUAUUUUUAUCUUCUUAAUUUGGUAAGCAGCUCAUCAAGUCUAUUCACCAAGUAGAGACGGUAAUAUCUACUGUUGUGGUUAUAGAGUUGGAAUGAAUGGCAGAACAAAUCAACAGUAUCAUGAACAUCUUUGUUGUGGAAAUCACUACUUAAAAUUGAUCAGCUCUCUAAUUUUGGAUCUGUGUUACACUACCAUAUUAAUAACAUUAAAAAGAAAAAAUUGGACAGCACUAACUUUUCUAUAGGUAUUAGUCAUAGCUGACUGUUGGUCUCAGGAUACUGAUAAAGUAAGGAAACAAAAUAAUAUGUGAAAAUGAAAUACUAAACAGAAUACCUGAAACACAAAGAAGUAAUGACUUGUAAUGUUGCAACCAAAAGUUCAGUUUACUACCUCCAGUCAUACUGUCCAGAUCCUUCAGGUCAGCCAGUGAAGUAAGAGGCUGCUUUACAUGUUAAUAAGGACUGGCAGCUCUCCAGUAUUCAUUUCACAACUGUGCUUUUUCUGCACAAAUCUUAGUAACAGUUAAUAAGCUGAUCGGUUGUGGGUUGCCUGAUCAAAAUAGACAAUGGUUUGUGAGAAAACUAGUUAUUAGAGAGAAAAAAAUAAAGAAGCUGUUUUAUGAUGUUUGACUUGUCUGCCCAAUUCGUAUUUCAGUACAUUGGUCAAAUGUUAAAUCUUAAGUUAUGAGCGAAAAAAAAAAGGCACUUUCCAUGGCGGAAUAGGGCUUUAUUCUAACUAAAAAGUAUUUUUCUGUGUAAGCCAGUAGCUGGCAUUUUGCUCAGAAGACAACAGACACAAAAGAAGAAACUUUGGCAUGUGGUGAUGGUUGUUGUUUUUAAACAAAUAAGCCAUCAACUUCAAGAAAGAAAUUCUUAAGAAUGUUCCUGUAAAGCAAAUGGUUUCAGGUCAUUGCUUUGGCUGUAGCGAGCAUUAUACUGUAUUACCAAACUAAGUAAAUAAUUCUUUUCCAAUUCUGUAUUAAACUUUACACACACUACCUCUGAAACGUAACACCACCUUUAAAACCACACAAAAAUGUGAACUUUAAAAAUUUUUAAACUUUUUAUAGGCAAUAAAUUAUUUCCAAUACACAUUCUUCAAUUUUGUGCUUAUUUUUUAGUUAAGAUUGUGAUAAAUUCAGUUUUUUUAUUUUAGUACUAUUUUAUGUAUUGUCUUAAACACAAACAAUUGACAAGGAAAUAAUAAACAUAUGGAUAUUGGGGAGAAAAGAGUAGCAUAUGUUAAGGAUAAUAAAUAUUACUAUGACUAGGCUCAAUGAUGAAGUGGUAGUAAAUGGGCUCGCUGUAGUAUUUUGGUAUAAUGGAUAUCAGAAAUACUCUGGUACUCAAGGAUUGUCAUAACAUUUCUCAGUAUAACACAUUAAUUUCUAUGAGAGAGAACAGUCAAAUAAUGAGUCUCAGCAAGGUGACAAAAAGGGAUAGGAUUUUGCAUUUUCCAAGAGUUAAUGUGUUUUAUAAAUUGGUCCUCAUUUUUAUUUCAGCUUUUGCUUUAUCUUUUUGUUUUUGCAUAAUAUGUGUAGAGACUUCAUAGGAACAAUCUUGAUUUGCUGCUAAGGAAGCAUUAAAUUAAAAUGAAUCAAUAGCAAACUAAGGUUUAAAUGAAAAUAGACCAUUUUUUGUAGUAAAGUUCAUGUCAAAGAGGAAGAAGUGUUGGGAGGGUCUGUAGGCUGUACAGACCUGUUCAAGCAGAUGGGGGGAGGGACCUAGGUACAAACAGGUGUUUUAGUUGAAAACUAAUGAAGAUUUGGGGGCGGAGGGGAUAUUCAAAAAUGUGAAAGUAAAAUGAAAAAUUUAUUCACCUUAGAAGACAACAAAUUCUAUUUUAUUUUCAGAUUCUGUGAAGUAAAGCUUAUAAAAUCAUGGCAAAUCCACUGAACUGUUUUGGGGAUAAAUUGUACUCUCUAAUAGAAAUCAUAUAACUUCUAUGAUCAUUUCUAAGAAUUACUGAGAAUGUAUGAACAUCCAUAUGCAUAUUUAUAAUGUGCACAGAUAAACUGAACUCAAUCAUCAUUUUAGCAUCCACAGAAGUAUUUUCAUUUAAAAUCUUAAUGUAAUUCUUCUAAAAUAGAUUUUCUCAUAUUUUUGUAAGUCUUAGUAUUUGAUUACAUAGUUUUGAAAUUAAAUACAUCAAUAUAAAUAUUGAUUGUAGAAUAACUCUUUGCAAAACUGGUAAGUUUUCGGCUUAAAUGUCCAUAAUAAUGUUAUUUCUAAGUAAUCUUGGCAUAUAAACUGCUUUAUUUAUGAAGAGAUAAUGAAUCUUAAGUCAUGAUAAUUUCCAUUUUAGUUACACUAAGGGCAUCAGUUUCAUUAAAAAAUGAUUUUCUGGAAGUUUAAACAUUAUUUUAUAAAUUGGAUGUUUUCAUUAACCUACAAAGCAUAAGAUAAUAAUCUGUCUUAAAAGUAGUAUGAUUUCUUUCUGGGCCAAUUUGGUAAGCUUUGUAACCUGAGUGUAUUACUGAAUUUCUCUGUGAAAAUCAAUAUUUAUAUUGUAUUUUUAUUACUUGUAUCAGUAUGUGUGGCAAGGAAACUACUAUAAAUCUUGAACUGAAGUACCUCCAGUAUAGUCCAGGACAUACAAUCUUGGCUUAUUUGAAAGAUGGAUGCCUCGUGAAAUAUUCCAUAAAUUUGUAUUGAUUUUUGUCUGUAUAUAUAAGGGUAUUUAUAAUCUUGUAUUAACAGAGUCAUCAUGAACAAUGCUUAUUUCCUUCUUUAGAAGCCUGCCCAGCUAUUUUUAUAAAAAAUGUUGGUCUUCGCCUUAAUUUUUUGUGAAAAUUUGUGCCAUAGAUAAUACGUUAUCUACAGAUAGUUUACAAAAUUUGUUUUGACUUGCCUUUAGUUAAUUAUUUUCCCUAAAAUUAUUGUAAAUUUUUUCCCCUCUACAUGUGUGUCAAGGUUGUUCUGUUUUCUUAAAUGUUUUUUAUUUUUAUUUUAAAGUUUUGGAAGAUAUCUUCAUAUGCAUGCUUUGGUGGUUCAAGAUUUUUCUCUGUAGCUUAUUGUUUAUAGUUUGGCAAAACCUUUCAUUAAAAAAAUUGAGGUAAUGCUUGUACAAAUGUAUCUAGAAUGGCCCAAAUGGUCAGAGUAAAGGGCUAUUUAGCAUUGGUAAAUUUGUCUACUAGACUUCCAGAAUAUUUUUCUACGUCUGUCAAGCUUGGGACUAUGGAGAAAUUAAAUAAAGGUUAACUAACUCCUUUUCCUACA